This 327-nucleotide ribosomal RNA is filed under the name uncultured eukaryote. Its description in RNAcentral is "partial 18S ribosomal RNA". It matches the Rfam family "Eukaryotic small subunit ribosomal RNA", at positions 1470 to 1796 of the family's 1831-position model. The record is from RNAcentral.
CCCUUAGAUGUUCUGGGCCGCACGCGCGCUACACUGACGAAUGCAACGAGCUUAUAACCUUGGCCGAAAGGUCUGGGUAAUCUCCAAAUUUCGUCGUGAUGGGGAUAGAUUAUUGCAAUUAUUAAUCUUCAACGAGGAAUGCCUAGUAAGCGCAAGUCAUCAGCUUGCGUUGAUUACGUCCCUGCCCUUUGUACACACCGCCCGUCACUCCUACCGAUUGAAUGGUCCGGUGAAGCGUUCGGACCGUGGCCUUUGGACGGUUCGCCGUCUGUUGGCUGCGGGAAGUUCGUUAAACCUUAUCAUUUAGAGGAAGGAGAANUCGUANCA